RNAcentral lists this long non-coding RNA (5421 nucleotides) under Prunus persica (peach). RNAcentral's name for it is "long non-coding RNA (PPER_LNC007677)". Lineage: Eukaryota; Viridiplantae; Streptophyta; Magnoliopsida; Rosales; Rosaceae. The record is from RNAcentral.
AUUCUUGGAGCUGGAUGAUCUAUCAUGGUAAACCGUUGAAUUGCCAUGAUUUGACAUAUACUCAGCCUCCUACAUUGAUGGGAUAGACGCCUUUUCCGGUUGAAGACGAGUUGAAUGUGUUUGAUAACGUGACCUCCUGAAAUUAUUAUUGCUCACCAGUCUUUCAGAUCAAAUUUGUUAACCGGUUUGUUAACUUUCAGAAGUUCACCUUAACAGACACAACUUUGAGUUGCUUCUGCACAUUCAUUUUUAUUGUUGGAACGGAACUACUGUAUUGUAUUAACAAUUAUCAGGUUUACCUGGGAUUACAAUGCACUUGUUUUAUGUCUAUAAUCUUAAACUAGACUUGUGUAGUUUCGUAGUUUGUUUCUUUUGGGUCAAUAACGUUGAGGUUAUAAUCAUGAGGUUGUGACUUGGCUUAUGUUUUUACUGAACCGUCUUUGGGUCAAUAACUCUAAUUUUGCACUUUGGAAGAUCAAACCAAACUCUCUUACAAGAGUGACAACUUCUACAAUUUUUUUUAGUACAAGCGAUUCGAGAAAAGGGAACAAUGGACUUUACAUUAAGCUAUAUAUUUUGGGUUUUUCCAAUCUUAUAUUUUCCACGACCUCUUGUCAAAACGCCAACAACCAGCAAUACAUUUGUUUGGGGGUUAAAUGUCAAGACAUUCUAGACCCACUUUUAACACAUUGUGAACCAAAACUUAGUAAGUCUCAAGACAUUCUAGACCCACUUUUAAUAAAAACGAAAUGAAAUACUUUUAAAUUAAUUUUAGCAAAUACCCCAAUAACAAAAAAAAAAAAAAAAAACCUUGAAAAUCCAGUUUUACAUCUCAAAGCUCAGAAUAUUUUGAAAGAAAAAACCCACAAAAAAAAAGAAGAAGAGAAAAUUGAUUAAUCAUUUGUGAGAGACAGAGAGAGAGUCAGAAAUCUCGUGUGGAAGUGCCGCUCAUAGAAACCAAGAGAUGCCUGGUACUGCGUUUGCACAUUGAAUAUCAUCAUCCCCUCUCCUUCAUAUAUAUAUAUUAACACGAAACCCUAAUUACAGAACCACACAACGCCAUUGAAAUUUAGACGAGCUUUGUUUGGAUAGAAUAACAGAGGCUGAUGAGGCUUGCCUUUUAUAAAGAACGCUGCUCUCAUAGCGGUGCCCUAGCCUCGGCUUACGGAGUCGUUGGCCCUAAGCUCUUGCUACGUCGUCGUUUUGAAUUAGAGUUGGCCCUAGCCUCUUACUACCGGAUAGAGUCGGCCCAUAUUUACGCUGGCCCAAACAAAUAAGAAACUCAUUUUAAAAUUCUUUUGGGGUAAAAAAAUAAAUAUGGGUCAUAAAAUAAAUAAAGACAUUGUUUGGGCCAGAAAGUAAAUAAUAAAACUUUGAACGCGUUAUAAAUCGACGAAGUAGCGUGACGAAAACAAAACACUCCGCUCUCUACUGCUUUGUUCUCAGUUCGCUCGUCGUCUGUUCCUGCCUUUCAAUCUCGUUCUCCAUUUUAGGUAUUUCUCUCUCUUUCGAUUCAAAUUUUCGAUUUCUCUGGUUCUUGUUUCUAGGUUUGGAUUCAUUUUCUUUAUUUAUCUCUCUCUCUCUCUCUCUUUUUUUUUUGGUUCACGUCUUUGUUUUUCGUCAAUUCAAAUAUUGUUAUCUCUUACGGGUUCGUGGGUAGGUGACAGAAUUUGAAUAUUGAAUAUAAUUUAAGGAGAUUAUUCGCAUAGGUUGAUUCUGUGUUUCAAUUUGGGUUCUUUCUUUUUGCGAUCUAGGGUUUGUGGAUUUUUUUUUUUGGGUUUUGAAUUUUAUUGCUUUACGAUUAUUGAUAUGAUAUUUUUCGUGAAUUAUGCUCAUUUUACGAUCUGGGUUUGAAUUUUUUUUCCUAUCUGGUUAUUUUGAGGAUUCGUAUGUGGGAUUACUUCUUUUAAAUUCAAUGUGUCUUGCUGUUGAAUAUUUUAUAUCGAUUAUCAAUUAGGUUUUUUGACAAUUCAAAUAUCAAUUUUUUGCGAUGUUGUUUUGUCUUGAGUUUUUAAUAUAUAAAAGAGUUUACUGCUUCCUGUGUUUCAUUGCUUAGUUUGUAGUUAUUUUGCCUUUGGUUUUCUGCUGCUUAACUAAGUUUAUGUGUAAUAAUGUUGGAAACAGGGUCUUCAUUUUGCACCCGAUGUCUUUUGAUCACAACAAGGAACAUUCAUCAAUUAUUAUAGCAUUUUGUUUUAUGAACCGAGGCAGACUGUGGUUGCGGAGGAUAUUGUUUCGGGACUGGACUUGAAACUCCUUUUCUUUGGAGGAAAGGUUCUUGAUUCAUUCACUUCUUGUGAGGGAUUUCUAGUUUGAGAUUUAAGGGUUCUUAUUAGGUAGGGGGACUCUCAUGGGGAAAUCAUCCUUGGCUCCUGGGUUUCGUUUCAAGCCAACUGAUGUUGAGCUUGUGCAAUACUACUUGAAGAGAAAGUUACUGGGGAAAAGGCUUGGUUUUAAAGUCAUUGCAGAGGUUGACAUUUACAAGUAUGAUCCUUGGGAUCUUCCAGGUAUAGGUCACUUCACAUUCUCGCCUUUGUAUUCUUUAUCUAUCAUCUAGUUCAUUCUUUGUAUUAUUUAGUUUCUCACUGUGUUUUUUUUUUUUUUUCAUUUCCAGACAAAUCUUGCUGGGAAAGUGGGGAUCUGAAACGGUAUUUCUUUUGUCCGAGAGAAAAGAAGUAUCGUAAUGGGAAUAGAAUUCAACGUGCCACUGAAGGUGGUUACUGGAAGACCACAGGAAAGGAUAGAUCCGUUCUUUACAGUGGUGAAGUUGUUGGGUGGAUAAAAACUUUAAUUUUUCACACUGGUCGAGCCCCACGUGGAGAUCGAACAAAUUGGGUUAUGCAUGAGUAUAGGCUUGAAGAUCAGGGCCUGGCUGAUAGGGGUGUGCCUCUGGUAAGUGCUACUCUUCCUCCUUUAAUUAUUUUUAUUUAUUCCUUUUAUUCAAUGGAAUAUUUUCGUGCUACUGAAUUGGACUUGUAAUGUUACUUCUUCUUACUUUAUACAAUUUGUUUUACUGCUUUUCAUGGCUUGUGGGGUUUUUGUUGAAUAAGUUUUGUGGCUUUUUGGUGUUGCAGGACUCAUAUGUGAUCUGUAUGAUUUUCCAAAAAGAUGGGUUGGGGCCGAAAAUUGGUGCACAAUAUGGUGCACCCUUUAAAGAGGAAGACUGGACUGAUGAUGAAGUUGAAAUUUGUUCAGAAGCAAUCCCGCAUGAAAAUAUGUCUGAGCCAAACCUUGUAGUGCCGAGCAACUGUAAUAGUUCCAUCACUACUAGCGGACAUACCCCAAAGGGUAUACACACAAGUCCUUCUGAAUCAUGCAUAUCAGAUGUUUUACCACCUUCUUGCAAUGUUCACCAAUUGGUUUCCAGUAAUCAUGUUACAAUGGAGAAGCUUCAUGGUUCCGAUGAUGAUAUCUUGUCAAUGUUGAAUUGCUUCACUGAAGGAAGCACUUCCUUAAUGAAAGAAAAUGACAAAAAUGAGGUGUGUAAUGCGCCCUUCUCUUUUUUCUACAUGUAGUAUAUAUCAUUCCUGAUCUACAGCAAGUGGAAAUGCAAAUCAUGAUCUAAUUUAUGCAAUCAGGAUAGGUUUAUGUUGUGACACUCUGCUCAUGCCAUAGAUUUCCAAUUUCAGAUGUGCUAAUGUGGCAUAAUACAGUUUUGUAUAUUUUACUUUUGUCAUUGAUGUCAUCCAGGUUGUUGAAAGAGACAAAUUAGCCUUGUUUUUUUUUUUUCUGUUUCUGAUGAGGGUCUUGUGUGCUCUGCAAAUUCCGUGCAUCUGUAGUUUGCGUUAUUUCCUUCAUCUCUCUCCUCUGUUGCACCGAUACGCCGGAUUUUUGGGGUAUGCUCGUAUCCGAUACGGCGCCGAUACGAUACGGUACCGAUACGGCAUCGAUACGUAUCCGAUACGCCAUGUGGCGUAUCGUAGACUUUUCUAGGAUGUUGACUUUACGAUACGGCUCCGAUACUCCAUUGAUACGGUCCCGAUACAUCAAUGGGUAACUUUGACGGCAACUAAAAGAUAAGAGGAAGAAGGAGGAAGGAGGAAGAAGGAAGAAUGAAGAAGAAGAUAACUUACUUGCGCUUGCAGCUGCUGCAAAUCUGCAGUUGCAGAUAGUUGCUGUGCGAAGAAGAGGCGGCUAACUAGUGAAGAAGAUGAUGUUGGGUGCCCUAAUUACAAUACUCACCGUUUUAGUUGCAUGUUUGUUAAAAAAAUUGUUUUAUACCUUUUUAAUGGUGCCCAAAAACUGAAACAAGUCAUAUAUGGCCUAGAAAAACAUAAGGAACCAGAAAAAAAAGCCCAAAAUGCUAAUUUUACAUAUAUAUAUAUAUAUAAUUUUACAUAUAUAUGUUUAUAUUUUUAUAAUUUUUAUAUUUAUAUUAUUUUAAUCGCCGUAUCGGUGCCGUACCCGUAUCCUAUUUUUUAAAAAUUUGCCGUAUCGACGUAUCGUAUCGUAUCGUAUCGCCGUACCCGUAUCCGUAUCGGUGCAACAUAGUCUCUCUCUCUCUCUCUCUCUCAGAGCAUCCUAAUUGGUUCCUUUUUCCUUUUUCAUACUGCUUUAUUUUGGAGAGGUUUGGUGUUUCUCUGACUGUUUUUCUGUUUUUACUUUUCCAUGGAUGGAGGGCAAAUUUUCCUAUUCAUUUAUUCAUGGAGAAAUGAUAUGUUUUUAAUUAUAGUGCAAAUGUUAUUUCUUGAAGCUAGAGUUUUAAACUAGAUGGCGUAACUAGAAAAGUUGAUGGCUUUGAAUUUCAAUUUUGAAAAUGUCAUUAUAUCUGUUAAAAGAAAAAAAUGAUUCCAUAAGUACAUUAGUACAAAUUAAUUAUCUUGCUAAUGUUCUUUAAACUUCUAAUGUAUGCUAAUGUAAAACUUCUUCACGGUUUGCAGGAGCUUGGUAAUGUCAUUCCUUCUGGAAAUGCUAGUGCUACACCCAAUUUCAAUAGUGAUGAUAUUUAUGAAGGUUUAGGAGACUUGGGGAAGAUGGCUAGAGUGAGUGAAGAUGGAUAUAAUUUCUCCAAUGUGCAUAAUUCAAUCUUUGCUCCGGCUCAAAUGCAGCUAGGUGACAAUGAGCAAUUCUUGGAGCUGGAUGAUCUAUCUUGGUAAACCGUUGAAUUGCCCUGCUUUGACAUAUACUCGGCCUCCUACUUUGAUGGGAGAGACGCCUUUUCCGGUUGAAGACGAGUUGAAUGUGUUUGAUAACUUCACUUCUGAAAUUAUUUUUGCUCUCUAGUCCUUCAGAUCAAAUUUGUUAACCAGUUUGCUAACUUUCAGAAGUUCACCUUAUCAGACACAACUUUGAGUUGCCUCUGCACAUUCAUUUUCAUUGUUGGGACAGAACGGUACUGAAAAUUGUGUUUACCGUAUUGUAUUAAAAAUUAUCAGGUUUACCUGGGAUUACCGUAUUGUUUUACUAUAAUCUUUUACGAGG